UACAGAGGGUGCGAGCGUUAAUCGGAAUCACUGGGCGUAAAGCGCACGUAGGCGGCUUGGUAUGUCGGGUGUGAAAUCCCCGGGCUCAACCUGGGAACUGCAUCCGAAACUGCCUUGCUAGAGUAUGGGAGAGGGAAGUGGAAUUUCCGGUGUAGCGGUGAAAUGCGUAGAUAUGUGGAGGAACACCGAUGGCGAAGGCAGCCCCCUGGGUCGACACUGACGCUCAUGCACAAAAGCGUGGGGAGCAAACAGG
RNAcentral lists this ribosomal RNA (253 nucleotides) under uncultured bacterium. RNAcentral describes it as "partial 16S ribosomal RNA". It matches the Rfam family "Bacterial small subunit ribosomal RNA", at positions 524 to 776 of the family's 1533-position model. The record is from RNAcentral.